UGGGGAAUUUUGGACAAUGGGCGAAAGCCUGAUCCAGCAAUGCCGCGUGUGUGAAGAAGGCCUUCGGGUUGUAAAGCACUUUUGUCCGGAAAGAAAUCCUUGGCUCUAAUACAGUCGGGGGAUGACGGUACCGGAAGAAUAAGCACCGGCUAACUACGUGCCAGCAGCCGCGGUAAUACGUAGGGUGCAAGCGUUAAUCGGAAUUACUGGGCGUAAAGCGUGCGCAGGCGGUUUGCUAAGACCGAUGUGAAAUCCCCGGGCUCAACCUGGGAACUGCAUUGGUGACUGGCAGGCUAGAGUAUGGCAGAGGGGGGUAGAAUUCCACGUGUAGCAGUGAAAUGCGUAGAGAUGUGGAGGAAUACCGAUGGCGAAGGCAGCCCCCUGGGCCAAUACUGACGCUCAUGCACGAAAGCGUGGGGAGCAAACGGGAUUAGAUACCCUGGUAGUCCACGCCCUAAACGAUGUCAACUAGUUGUUGGGGAUUCAUUUCCUUAGUAACGUAGCUAACGCGUGAAGUUGACCGCCUGGGGGAGUACGGUCGCAAGAUUAAAACUUAAAUGAA
This 562-nucleotide ribosomal RNA is filed under the name uncultured bacterium. Its description in RNAcentral is "partial 16S ribosomal RNA". It matches the Rfam family "Bacterial small subunit ribosomal RNA", at positions 355 to 909 of the family's 1533-position model. The record is from RNAcentral.